RNAcentral lists this ribosomal RNA (501 nucleotides) under uncultured bacterium. RNAcentral describes it as "bacterial SSU rRNA". It matches the Rfam family "Bacterial small subunit ribosomal RNA", at positions 8 to 526 of the family's 1533-position model. The record is from RNAcentral.
AGAGUUUGAUCCUGGCUCAGAAUGAACGUUGGCGGCGUGGAUUAGGCAUGCAAGUCGAACGAGAACCCAGCAAUGGGGGAAAGUGGCGUAAGGGGCAGUAAUACAUGGAUAACGUACCCCGAGGUACCGCAUAGCCGUUCUAACGGACGGGUAAUUCGGUACGCCCCGGCGACGCGGCAUCGCGUUGUCGGGAAAGAUUCAUCGCCUCGGGAGCGGUCCAUGCGAUAUUAGCUAGUUGGCGGGGGAACGGCCCACCAAGGCUAAGAUGUCUAGCGGGUGUGAGAGCACGACCCGCGCCACUGGCACUGAGAACGGGCCAGACACCUACGGGUGGCGGCAGGCGAGGAUCUUCCGCAAUGGACGAAAGUCUGACGGAGCGACGCCGCGUGUGCGAUGAAGGCCUUCGGGUUGUAAAGCACUGUCGAGGGGGAGGAAGCCGCAAGGUUGACCCAUCCCUGGAGGAAGCACGGGCUAAGUUCGUGCCAGCAGCCGCGGUAAUUC